AAUGAAUAAUUUGAGAAGAAAUGGAAAUAAGUUUACACUGUGUUCAACUGACAAUUCUUUCUCCCUGCAUUUAAAUUCGCCCGAGACAUCAGGAACUCCAUCCAAGUCCGAUAUGGAGACUGUGGAAGUGGACCAGCUUGAGUCAAUAAAGGUCAUUAAAUCCCUUCUCAAUGACUGAAGGUGGACAAAGGGAUCCGACAGUUCCUUUACUUUCCCCCUCGCUCUCGGAGACCACAGUGACGCUGACUCCAGAGCCUGUCCAGACAACAGUCACCAAAGAGGAUCAGAUUGUUACUUUGCUACCUGAAGAUGAGUCAGAGGAUCAAGACAAGUCCUCCAGGUCUACACUGCAGAAAGCAGAGCAGGAGAGUGUGAUGGCUCCUUGGGAUCAGCAGUGUUCAAGAUUGAAGGCAAAAAAGGGGAGAAUGUUUCUGUCUCCAGUUCUUAUUUCAAUCAGAAUACCUCCUGCAGAGGCGUUUUCCCAUUCCACUUCAGCUGAGGAAGAAGACCAAUAUGAAAUCUCGAGAAUCACAUUCGCAAUCAAACACUUUACACAAAACAGAGACCUCAGUCACGGUGAUGAUCUCAUCGUCCCAAACGCGGGUGCUCCCCACCUUUUCGUGUCCGCCAUCUUCAUCCGACCUCUAUGCUGAAAUCCCCGGCUCCACCGAUGCACCGAUCCAUGGCUCCAUCCAGAAGUCCAUCUUCAUGAGGCUAAACAACCGGAUCAAAAUCUGAAGGUGAACAUGUCACUCAGCGGGCGUUACCUGGAACAGCUCAGUCAACGGUGACUAUAGUUUUCAGUUUGUAUGUAUUUCCAUGCCUGACCACUAGAGGGAGAUUCACAGUUUACCAUUCAUGAUAAGUGACCUCUGUGACGUCACAGUGCGCCGCUCUCGAUCGAAUGCAGGCUAGAACGCUGAGCAUACGACAUGCAACCUUUCGAACAGCAGCUGCCAGAUAACAGCAAGAAUCUCCACACACAAUUAAAUCCCUAAACCCAGUGAAGUUUGAGUGUUUAGAAUCCUGUAUUGUGUUUUUACUGGAAGAGAACAAUAUUCUAAAUACAGAGGACAGCAGGUGCUCAUCUUCCAUUUACUUUUGGCAUAUAUUGAAUGCAGAUGGAGGAGAUGCAGAGGGCUUUCUAUAAAGCCAUCAUCAUACUCCAGAGCACCUUGUGGAUCAUUGAAGAGCAGGUCAGCACAAUUAAUAACUCAGUCUUUCUGUUCUUUUGCUCUAUAAUGUUUCUACACAAUAUUGACAAAAGUAUUGGGACACCUGACCUUCCCUGCCAUAUGUUGUGCUUGUGGACAUUUGUGUUCAUUCAGCAACAAGGGUGUUAGAAAACUCAGAUACUAAUGUAGAGGAGGUGAGGAGGUCUGGGGGUGCAGAGUUCGUGUUCUUGAUCAAACAGGUUCAAGCUCAAUAGCAGGAGAUCUUCCAAACCAUGGAGAGCAUGGAGCUGGCUUUGUGCACAGGGGCAUUGUCAUGCUGGAACAGGUUUGGGUCUCCAAGUUCAAGUGAGGGAAAAGUUGUUACAACAUCCAAUACGAUUGUGUGCCUCCGAAUUUGUGGUAACAGUUUGGAGAUGAACCACAUAUGGCUGGAAAAGUCAGGCGUUCCAAUACUUUUGUCCAUAUAUAGUAUGUGAUACACAAUGUAUGGAACAGUUCAGCUCUCAAAUCAGAGGAUAUUUUGCUGAUCAGAUUGAGUUUGACCUUGUGAAUCUAAUCUUUUCUUUUCUUUUUGUAGUGUAAGAAAAUGCGAGUCCAUACAGGUUCUGCAGAAACAGAUGGAGAAACUGUCACUGCAAGUCAGCAAUCUACAGAGAGAGGUUUCGGUCCUCCAAAUCUACGUGCUACUCUCUGUGGUCCUCAUCAUCCUCAGCAUCCUCAUCAUCAUCUAUCUCCAUUACUGUUUCAUGUUGGAUUCAAAUCUCUCAUCAGAAUCUGAAACAUCCAUCCCAAAAUCCUACAGCUGCAGGGAUUCCCUGAGAAUGAGGACGUGAACCCAAAGCGGAGAGCGUCUUAUCCUUUUUCACACUCGGCCAUGCAGAUUGCGACUACUGAAGGUCCAAGUAAAGCAUAUAAUGUAGAAACUCGAAAUAAUUCAACCGGGAGUAAAAAGAAAAAGCACUGUAAAUUGAAAUCCAGCACAAAGCCUGAGACGAUCACUCCCACAUUACUCUCCACAGUCAUCACAAUCUGGAUGCCUCCUCAUAGCACCGCUUCUACUCCCUUCUCUUUCAGAGACUCUCCACCAGAGGGAAGCUCUGAAGACUCUUCACAGUCAGACAAGCCUUCGACUAAAACUAACUAAUAAUCAUGACUCAAACAUGAUCAUAAUAUUGUCCUAUUAAACUGCUCUUUUUACUGGGAUUGAAUCGAAUGUGAGUCAAUCCAAGCAGAUUGUUCAUUAAUUGCACAAAUAAAAGUUAAUCAGAAACUGUUUUA
Silurus meridionalis is the source of this 2453-nucleotide long non-coding RNA. RefSeq lists it as uncharacterized. The transcript has 6 exons. Lineage: Eukaryota; Metazoa; Chordata; Actinopteri; Siluriformes; Siluridae. The record is from RefSeq and is a predicted model, not a curated record.